GGGAGUUUAGUUAAAUGGUAUAACUGCGGUCUCCAAAACCGCGAUUGGGGGUUCGAUUCCCUCAACUCCCGCCU
RNAcentral lists this transfer RNA (74 nucleotides) under Candidatus Terrybacteria bacterium RIFCSPHIGHO2_01_FULL_43_35. RNAcentral describes it as "tRNA-Trp". It matches the Rfam family "tRNA". Rfam says of the family: Transfer RNA (tRNA) molecules are approximately 80 nucleotides in length. RNAcentral also lists the same sequence under 2 other names. Lineage: Bacteria; Candidatus Terryibacteriota. The record is from RNAcentral.